RNAcentral lists this ribosomal RNA (492 nucleotides) under uncultured bacterium. RNAcentral's name for it is "partial 16S ribosomal RNA". It matches the Rfam family "Bacterial small subunit ribosomal RNA", at positions 29 to 507 of the family's 1533-position model. The record is from RNAcentral.
AGUGAACGCUGGCGGUAGGCCUAACACAUGCAAGUCGAACGGCAGCACAGUAAGAGCUUGCUCUUACGGGUGGCGAGUGGCGGACGGGUGAGGAAUACAUCGGAAUCUACUUUUUCGUGGGGGAUAACGUAGGGAAACUUACGCUAAUACCGCAUACGACCUACGGGUGAAAGCAGGGGAUCUUCGGACCUUGCGCGAUUGAAUGAGCCGAUGUCGGAUUAGCUAGUUGGCGGGGUAAAGGCCCACCAAGGCGACGAUCCGUAGCUGGUCUGAGAGGAUGAUCAGCCACACUGGAACUGAGACACGGCCCAGACUCCUACGGGAGGCAGCAGUGGGGAAUAUUGGACAAUGGGCGCAAGCCUGAUCCAGCCAUACCGCGUGGGUGAAGAAGGCCUUCGGGUUGUAAAGCCCUUUUGUUGGGAAAGAAAAGCAGCAGGUUAAUACCCCGCUGUUCUGGCGGUACCCAAAGAAUAAGCACCGGCUAACUUCGUG